ACGAUGAAGCUUCUAGCUUGCUAGAAGUGGAUUAGUGGCGCACGGGUGAGUAAGGUAUAGUUAAUCUGCCCUACACAAGAGGACAACAGUUGGAAACGACUGCUAAUACUCUAUACUCCUGCUUAACACAAGUUGAGUAGGGAAAGUUUUUCGGUGUAGGAUGAGACUAUAUAGUAUCAGCUAGUUGGUAAGGUAAUGGCUUACCAAGGCUAUGACGCUUAACUGGUCUGAGAGGAUGAUCAGUCACACUGGAACUGAGACACGGUCCAGACUCCUACGGGAGGCAGCAGUAGGGAAUAUUGCGCAAUGGGGGAAACCCUGACGCAGCAACGCCGCGUGGAGGAUGACACUUUUCGGAGCGUAAACUCCUUUUCUUAGGGAAGAAUUCUGACGGUACCUAAGGAAUAAGCACCGGCUAACUCCGUGCCAGCAGCCGCGGUAAUACGGAGGGUGCAAGCGUUACUCGGAAUCACUGGGCGUAAAGGGCGCGUAGGCGGAUUAUCAAGUCUCUUGUGAAAUCUAAUGGCUUAACCAUUAAACUGCUUGGGAAACUGAUAGUCUAGAGUGAGGGAGAGGCAGAUGGAAUUGGUGGUGUAGGGGUAAAAUCCGUAGAUAUCACCAAGAAUACCCAUUGCGAAGGCGAUCUGCUGGAACUCAACUGACGCUAAGGCGCGAAAGCGUGGGGAGCAAACAGGAUUAGAUACCCUGGUAGUCCACGCCCUAAACGAUGUACACUAGUUGUUGGGGUGCUAGUCAUCUCAGUAAUGCAGCUAACGCAUUAAGUGUACCGCCUGGGGAGUACGGUCGCAAGAUUAAAACUCAAAGGAAUAGACGGGGACCCGCACAAGCGGUGGAGCAUGUGGUUUAAUUCGAAGAUACGCGAAGAACCUUACCUGGGCUUGAUAUCCUAAGAACCUUUUAGAGAUAAGAGGGUGCUAGCUUGCUAGAACUUAGAGACAGGUGCUGCACGGCUGUCGUCAGCUCGUGUCGUGAGAUGUUGGGUUAAGUCCCGCAACGAGCGCAACCCACGUAUUUAGUUGCUAACGGUUCGGCCGAGCACUCUAAAUAGACUGCCUUCGUAAGGAGGAGGAAGGUGUGGACGACGUCAAGUCAUCAUGGCCCUUAUGCCCAGGGCGACACACGUGCUACAAUGGCAUAUACAAUGAGACGCAAUACCGCGAGGUGGAGCAAAUCUAUAAAAUAUGUCCCAGUUCGGAUUGUUCUCUGCAACUCGAGAGCAUGAAGCCGGAAUCGCUAGUAAUCGUAGAUCAGCCAUGCUACGGUGAAUACGUUCCCGGGUCUUGUACUCACCGCCCGUCACACCAUGGGAGUUGAUUUCACUCGAAGCCGGAAU
RNAcentral lists this ribosomal RNA (1354 nucleotides) under Campylobacter jejuni. RNAcentral describes it as "bacterial SSU rRNA". It matches the Rfam family "Bacterial small subunit ribosomal RNA", at positions 66 to 1433 of the family's 1533-position model. Lineage: Bacteria; Pseudomonadati; Campylobacterota; Epsilonproteobacteria; Campylobacterales; Campylobacteraceae. The record is from RNAcentral.